UACGGGGGGGGCAAGCGUUGUUCGGAAUUACUGGGCGUAAAGGGCUCGUAGGUGGCCAACUAAGUCAGACGUGAAAUCCCUCGGCUUAACCGGGGAACUGCGUCCGAUACUGGAUGGCUUGGAUUCGGGAGAGGGAUGCGGAAUUCCAGGUGUAGCGGUGAAAUGCGUAGAUAUCGGAAGGAACACCAGUGGCGAAAGCGGCUUCCUGGUCCAGCACCGACGUUCAGGCACGAAAGCGUGGGGAGCAAACAGG
Molecule: ribosomal RNA, 253 nt
Filed under: uncultured bacterium
Lineage: Bacteria
Description: partial 16S ribosomal RNA
Rfam family: Bacterial small subunit ribosomal RNA
Source: RNAcentral